GGAGUAUUCUCUCCGUCCAACAAAAGAUGUCUAAUUUGAAUGCAUUUAUACACUAAGUCAUGUCUAAAUACAUCCAAAUUUUAACAAACUUGAUACAUCUUUUGUUGGACGGAGGGAGUAUAUG
Molecule: non-coding RNA, 124 nt
Organism: Brachypodium distachyon (stiff brome)
Lineage: Eukaryota; Viridiplantae; Streptophyta; Magnoliopsida; Poales; Poaceae
Source: Rfam